RNAcentral lists this transfer RNA (75 nucleotides) under Daphnia galeata. It matches the Rfam family "tRNA". Rfam says of the family: Transfer RNA (tRNA) molecules are approximately 80 nucleotides in length. Lineage: Eukaryota; Metazoa; Arthropoda; Branchiopoda; Diplostraca; Daphniidae. The record is from Rfam by way of RNAcentral.
GGGGGUAUAGCUCAGUGGUAGAGCAGCAUCCGACUGCAGAUCGGAAUGUCCCCGGCUCAACCCCGGGUGCCCCCU